Molecule: small nucleolar RNA, 47 nt
Filed under: Leishmania donovani
Lineage: Eukaryota; Euglenozoa; Kinetoplastea; Trypanosomatida; Trypanosomatidae
Description: H/ACA box snoRNA LD20Cs-1H1
Source: RNAcentral
CUUGUGCGCCCUAACAUUUUUCUGCUGCUGUUGGCCACCGUCCACCU